This 253-nucleotide ribosomal RNA is filed under the name uncultured bacterium. RNAcentral's name for it is "partial 16S ribosomal RNA". It matches the Rfam family "Bacterial small subunit ribosomal RNA", at positions 524 to 776 of the family's 1533-position model. The record is from RNAcentral.
UACAGAGGUGGCAAGCGUUGUUCGGAUUUACUGGGCGUAAAGGGUCCGUAGGCGGACCGGAAAGUUGAAUGUGAAAUCCCACAGCUUAACUGUGGAACUGCAUUCAAAACUUCCGGACUAGAGUGUGAGAGGGGUUAAGGGAAUUCCCGGUGUAAGGGUGAAAUCUGCAGAGAUCGGGAGGAACACCAGUCGCGAAGGCGCUUAACUGGCUCACUACUGACGCUCAGGGACGAAAGCUAGGGUAGCAAACGGG